Non-coding RNA from Amanita rubescens, 86 nucleotides. Lineage: Eukaryota; Fungi; Basidiomycota; Agaricomycetes; Agaricales; Amanitaceae. The record is from the annotation of a GenBank genome assembly.
UCGGAUAUGGUGUAACGGCUAACAUUACCGCCUCUCAUUGAGUGAGAUGAUCGCGGUAGCUCGGGGUUCGAUUCCCCGUAUCCGAA